GCUCAAAUUUGAAAUCUGGCCCUCGGGUCCGAGUUGUAAUUUGUAGAGGAUGCUUUUGGCGCGGUGCCUUCCGAGUUCCCUGGAACGGGACGCCUUAGAGGGUGAGAGCCCCGUACGGUUGGACACCAAGCCUCUGUAAAGCGCCUUCGACGAGUCGAGUAGUUUGGGAAUGCUGCUCUAAAUGGGAGGUAAAUUUCUUCUAAAGCUAAAUAUUGGCCAGAGACCGAUAGCGCACAAGUAGAGUGAUCGAAAGAUGAAAAGCACUUUGAAAAGAGGGUUAAACAGCACGUGAAAUUGUUGAAAGGGAAGCGUUUGCGACCAGACCUCUCCCCGGCGGAUCAUCCGGCGUUCUCGCCGGUGCACUUCGCCGGGCUGAGGCCAGCAUCGGUUUCCGCGGGGGGACAAAAGCGGGGGGAACGUAGCUCCCUCGGGAGUGUUAUAGCCCCCCGCAUAAUACCCUCGCGGGGACCGAGGACCGCGCUUCGGCAAGGAUGCUGGCGUAAUGGUCGUCAACGACCCGUCUUGAAACACGGACCAAGGAGUCGAACAUUUGUGCGAGUGUUUGGGUGUCAAACCCUCACGCGUAAUGAAGGUGAACGUAGGUGAGAGCCUUCACGGGCGCAUCAUCGACCGAUCCUGAUGUCUUCGGAUGGAUUUGAGUAAGAGCAUAACUGUUCGGACCCGAAAGAUGGUGAACUAUGCGUGGAUAGGGUGAAGCCAGAGGAAACUCUGGUGGAGGCUCGCAGCGGUUCUGACGUGCAAAUCGAUCGUCAAAUCUGCGCAUGGGGGCGAAAGACUUAUCGAACCAUCUAGUAGCUGGUUACCGCCGAAGUUUCCCUCAGGAUAGCAGUGUUGUUCUUCAGUUUUAUGAGGUAAAGCGAAUGAUUAGGGACUCGGGGGCGCUCUUUAGCCUUCAUCCAUUCUCAAACUUUAAAUAUGUAAGAAGCCCUUGUUGCUUAGUUGAACGUGGGCAUUCGAAUGUACCAACACUAGUGGGCCAUUUUUGGUAAGCAGAACUGGCGAUGCGGGAUGAACCGAACGCGGGGUUAAGGUGCCGGAGUGGACGCUCAUCAGACACCACAAAAGGUGUUAGCACAUUUAGACAAUAGGACGGUGGCCAUGGAAGUCGGAAUCCGCUAAGGACUGUGUAACAACUCACCUAUCGAAUGUGCUAGCCCUGAAAAUGGAUGGCGCUCAAGCGUCCCACCCA
Molecule: ribosomal RNA, 1210 nt
Filed under: Rosellinia corticium
Lineage: Eukaryota; Fungi; Ascomycota; Sordariomycetes; Xylariales; Xylariaceae
Description: partial large subunit ribosomal RNA
Rfam family: Eukaryotic large subunit ribosomal RNA
Source: RNAcentral